UGCGGGGUGGAUCAGUGGCGAACGGGUGAGUAACACGUGAGCAACCUGCCCCUGACUCUGGGAUAAGCGCUGGAAACGGCGUCUAAUACUGGAUACGAGACGUGAUCGCAUGGUCAACGUUUGGAAAGAUUUUUCGGUUGGGGAUGGGCUCGCGGCCUAUCAGCUUGUUGGUGAGGUAAUGGCUCACCAAGGCGUCGACGGGUAGCCGGCCUGAGAGGGUGACCGGCCACACUGGGACUGAGACACGGCCCAGACUCCUACGGGAGGCAGCAGUGGGGAAUAUUGCACAAUGGGCGCAAGCCUGAUGCAGCAACGCCGCGUGAGGGAUGACGGCCUUCGGGUUGUAAACCUCUUUUAGCAGGGAAGAAGCGAGAGUGACGGUACCUGCAGAAAAAGCACCGGCUAACUACGUGCCAGCAGCCGCGGUAAUACGUAGGGUGCAAGCGUUAUCCGGAAUUAUUGGGCGUAAAGAGCUCGUAGGCGGUUUGUCGCGUCUGCUGUGAAAUCUGGGGGCUCAACCCCCAGCCUGCAGUGGGUACGGGCAGACUAGAGUGCGGUAGGGGAGAUUGGAAUUCCUGGUGUAGCGGUGGAAUGCGCAGAUAUCAGGAGGAACACCGAUGGCGAAGGCAGAUCUCUGGGCCGUAACUGACGCUGAGGAGCGAAAGGGUGGGGAGCAAACAGGCUUAGAUAC
RNAcentral lists this ribosomal RNA (691 nucleotides) under Microbacterium profundi. Its description in RNAcentral is "bacterial SSU rRNA". It matches the Rfam family "Bacterial small subunit ribosomal RNA", at positions 81 to 785 of the family's 1533-position model. The record is from RNAcentral. Lineage: Bacteria; Bacillati; Actinomycetota; Actinomycetes; Micrococcales; Microbacteriaceae.